CUCCAAACCGCAUUCCAACGGACAGCAGUGAAAAAUUACCCCACACAUACGCACCUCAGGCGUUCCAGCGAAGCAGAAUGAGAAAACGGUGGGGAAAAGGAAAGAUUAGAGCCUCCUCCGAGCAGCCGAGCGGCACCGUCGCGGAGGAGAGGCUGCGCCGCGCAGCCGUGAGGACCGGAGGAGACUACACCACCGGUCCGGGAACCUGUUGCCGUGAACCGCCACGGCGGCAUGGAAGGAGCACCGCUGCGGAUUGGGGAGGAGCGCCGUCGCGGGCCUAGGGAGAGCGCUGCCCGGACCAAGCUCCCUGCUUGACCGAUCAAGGACUCUCGAUUCCGGCCGCCUGCAGCACAUCAGGCCAUCAGCUAACAGGUCCCUUAUCUUCUCCCUCAAUUAGUUUGUGGUUCUGACCGCCCGCAAUACAAACCAAACUGAACUGAUAUGCGAGCCCGCAGUACAAACAAAACUGAACUUAUCUUCUUUCUCUGAAUAUACGCCUGGGUUUGACAUUUAGAUAUAACAGUUCUAAAAAUUACAUAUUGUUCUGAAAAUUAGAUAUUGUUAAAUUUAGGAAAAGCAACAGCAAUUAAUCGUAGCUAACUGGUUGUAUGGAUUCACAUGGUUUCCCAUAACUCUUUUCAUAGCUAGCUGAUCACUUGGUGGAGGACAAUACGUGCACUACUAUUCUUGAUCAAGUCACUUUUCAGUGUAUUAUGUUUGAGCUCACCAAUGGUGAUGUAGUCAACAUAUAUCUCUUCUGCUCCUGUCAGCUAACCUGUUUGUGCCGAGGCCUUAUGUCUGCGUGAUCAUUCUUUUCACUUUCUCUGUAUCUUCUACCUUUCAUGAACCAAAAGAUCAUAUUUGGAGCUGGUCAAGAAAGAGAAUAUAUUAAAUUUGUUUUUGUACUUUCUUUAGUGCUGAAAAUUUAUGCCUUUAUUUGCCAUUGUAUAGUGACCAUCCAGAAAAUUUAUGCCUAAAUUAGAUAUCUUUAUAUCUUUAUAUAGUAGAUUUGCUUUGCUACUAAGUCUAAAAAGGGGAACCUUGUUUUUGGUCAGAAUGGCAGCACCGGGCAAAGCUAGCGGUAUGCAACAACAGGGAGGCUCUUGAUUUGCUUAUAUCUGGUUCUGCUAUUAAGUUACUGAAGCAAGGUAUGUUCCUGUCUAUUGUGGUGGUGUCGUAUAGAUUUGCCAAAGUAUAGUUUCUUCAAAUUGUGAAGUGAAUCGUAAUGUCUCAAGCUCUGGUCUUGUAGUAUGUUCUUGUAUAUUGUGUUGGCCUCGUACAAAGUCGGAUAAAUUAGCAUGUACAUAAAGGAAACUACUUGAACAAAGUUUCAAUCUGUUUGGACUAAGAAUAUUGUUAACAUUCACACACUUAAUCUAAUAAGUGUCCUUAUUCUGGUUGAUGUCAGGUACUCUUACUUACCUUGGUCGAUACAAAUAGUUUGUCGUACUAUUUACUUAAUCUUCAUCUUCAAGCAUUGUAUUUUUGGUUUUUGCUUUAACACAUCUCUUGUUCCCGCGGACACCUUUUUCCUAUUGUUCUGGCGAAUUCGUCUCAGUGCAUUCAUUCUCUGAGUCGUCUGAUAUCACAACAGAUCUCAAGUCUUCUUUUAUUGCCACUGUUGGGCUCAUGUGUUGUUGCUGCUGAUAUUUUGUCUUGACGCCCAUCUUUGUUUAAUGUACUCCAAUUACUGUCAAUGUGGUUUCUCUUUCACACGCAUCAGUUCACAUGAAAGUUUGCCAGGUGAAUCUUUAUUAUUCUGUGACUGCAUACUUAUAAUUUUUAAAAAUUAGACACAUCUCUAAGAUCUGAAGUGUACAUAGUUAAAAAACCAAUCACCUCUUUAUCUCGCAUGUUCUGCUUCUUCAUUAACAUGGUGUCCACCUCAUCAUCCAUCAAUUCCUGUGCAACAUAUGUAAGAUGAGUUAGUUAAGGAAUUCUAAAGAUGGUACUUCAUAUUUUUCAAAAAAGUUUAAUGCACCUUUACCUCCUUGACUUUAUCGUUCAAGUAGAGCAUCUCAAGGCCAUCAUCAGGCAAAAAUGUUCUUUUUACUGCAUAGUUUUGUGUGCGACAGGUCAGAUUAUAUCAUUGAAAUUGAAUCAAAAUAUAAGUUUUUUCCACAUAUUUUUUUAAUAAUCUUUGGUGCAUCUUAUGAUUGCCCAUCUAGUGAGUUCAGCAAGUUAGAUGUAAAUGUAUAAAGCAAAUUAUUCUUCUCACCACGGGCUUCAUUUGUGUUAGUUGUCCAAUGACAUGUAUAUUUGGAGAUUAUUGAUAUAACAAUUAGAAAUAUCAAUUAUAUGGAAGUCGUAAUUACAACUAUCAACAUGCCUGAGCAUUGUGUAUCUUUUUCUGUCCUUUCUUGUAGUGUAUCCAUGGUCGCAAACUCGCGGCAAUAAUUCAGAAAAACUUUCGAAGAUCCUUUUACCUUUUACCUGUGUAAUGCAAAAAUAUAUUUUAAUUUCAUUUCUCAUUGGCCUAUAUUUUUUAAUUCCAACUCCUUAACAUGGUUGAAUGCAUAAAUAGAUUUCUUAUUGAUCUUUGAUCUAAACAUGUCUAUUAGAUUCUUCCAAAUAGUAACAUGGAUUGUUUCAGCCUGUCAAAACAAUCAAAUAGGGUUAGUGACUGCAUCUUAACUUGAAAAACUGCAAUUAAAUAUAUAAAAACCGACAUGCUCAUCCAUCAGUAUCAUAUCUAGGCUAGUUAGCUCAUGGGUCGUAGGAUUGACUGAAUCCCACACUCAUUGUGUUCACUUGAAUGUUCUAGUCAUGUCCCCUCAUAGUUAAGUCGCUGAACUUCUUGUAUGUGAUAGUGUUAUGUCCUCAAAAUUAAUAGAAAACAAUAAGUAAUUAAUACAUGAUUUAUGAAGAUUCUAGGCAGAAAAAGUAAGCUUCCUAAAUAACAAUCACCAAAUCUGAUGAUUCAGGCAAGAAGUGCUUUGGCGUGAGUUCUUCCAACGUUGACUGGAGCAAUUGGGCGUGGCUUUGUCGGGCGCCGGGCAUGCUUUGGCAUGACUUCAUUGGACGUCGAGUGAAGCGGCUGGGCAUGGAUUGUCGUGGUAGCUCUGUCGACUUCAAUAUGUUCAAGUCGUGGUGGUUGUCGACUUCAAAUUGAUUGGUGUGUUAUUGUGCGACUGCUUGUACUUGCUUAUAUGGGUUGAGGUCGCUGGAUUUGAGGUGGCCGAGAUGUCUGGAAAUAUGAUCAUGACCUUGUCCUAUUUUAAUUUUUCGGAAUUUUCAUCACGUGGGAUAUGAUAGUUAUCCCUAUUUGUUUAGGUUUGCAUUUCAUUCGUUCUUGUUUUGGAUUUUUCAUUACGGGAGAUACGUAUCCAACAUGGAUCCUUUCCAAACACUUCCAAGUUUUAUCUCAACAUUAAUUGCUUUUUUAAUUGCUUAUAGCACGUAGUACAUGGCAGUGCUUUUUUCCUCCCUUCUUUCCUUUCCUAUUAUGGUAGUGCUUUUUUUUCUCUCCCUUCUUUUCCUUCCUAUUAGGACAUGUAACGCUUACAUCUCGUGUAUGUGCUGGACUAUGAGACGUCCACAUGUAUGUCCGCGUGUAUGUGCUGGACUUUGAGACAUGCACAUGUAUGUGCUGGACUUAGUCGUAGUUUAUAUACUUCCAACUUUUUAUUCCUACACCUUGUACGUGUCAGCUCAACUUAUAUAACUUUUGGACGUAAUGUAAUAUCUUUAAAUCUUAGCCGUAAAUAUUAC
Molecule: long non-coding RNA, 3711 nt
Filed under: Triticum aestivum (bread wheat)
Lineage: Eukaryota; Viridiplantae; Streptophyta; Magnoliopsida; Poales; Poaceae
Description: long non-coding RNA (TAES_LNC006760)
Source: RNAcentral